This 1599-nucleotide long non-coding RNA is filed under the name Fragaria vesca (wild strawberry). RNAcentral's name for it is "long non-coding RNA (FVES_LNC000326)". The record is from RNAcentral. Lineage: Eukaryota; Viridiplantae; Streptophyta; Magnoliopsida; Rosales; Rosaceae.
CCUCAUAUGUAGUAUUGGAAGAUACAUGAACUUUCAGCAUCUAGCUUUCGAGAUAGCUUCAAAGAAAACAGAAACCGAUUUGGGAACGGAAUCAGAGAUGGCAGCGACUUCUUUCCAUCUUGCAAGGACUUCGAAUCCACAAAGAAAAUCUGGGUAAGGUUUCAUUCUUUGAUUUAGCCCUUCAUUCGACUACAAACGGCAAUGACUGAACCUUUUUCUUCUUUACUUGUUGGGACAUUGAAAUUUGAUUAAGGGCAUUGACUUUUUUUCAAAUCCCUGAAGAACACAAGUCUUGGGAAUGUGUUCUUGUCAAAUCAAAACAGAGAUGGAUUUCAAGUCAGAAAUUGAGUCCGAGAUGGAAUUGCAUUUGGGUGAUGGCUGGGUUCGCAUCUCAGAAGGAUUUGAGCUUGCAAUCGGGCUUUAUACCCAUAGAACAGGUGAGGACUUUUCUCUUUCCAUACUUCUUUGAUUUGUACGAAUUGGAAGCUGAAAUUUUGUGUUUGCUUCCUUGUUGGUGGCACUGGGCAAGCGAAAUUGUAUUUGACUGGUCUUGGUGAGUUUUGUGUUGAGACAUGGAAGUGCCAUUGCGGGAACAUACCAAGAGGGUGAGUUCCUUUCUUUUGUGCACACAAGACAAAAAUUUGUCUUGUUCAUCAUUCUUCAAACUGGACAUGACCAUCAUACCCUUUUUUUAUUUGAGUGCUAUGUCAAGUUUGUGAAGUUUUGUCUUCUUGUUGAGAGAUUAGAUAGAGCUCCACCGCUUGGACUUUUCUCUCCCAAUCUUUGUAUUUAUCUUGACAGGUUCUCUUUUCAACUGCUCAAAGACAUCGGUGCUGCAGUCUCACUAAACAAAGGGCUCAGAGUUUUUAUUUGAGAGCUUUUAUUGUUUUAGCUUAAAUUGGUGUUUGUGUGAGAACUCUGGGAGUUGGGGGAAUUUGUUUGGCUGGUGAUUUUGGAGAUAACAGUGGAUAGGUUGGUGUUCUGGUAACAUAGAGUUUGGAGGUGUAUUUAGGGGGGUGUAUUGCAUUUGGAUUCAUACAGAGUUAUUUUAAUCAAUUGGCUUUUUGAAAAGUCUACAGACUCUUUAAAAAGUUCAUAGACUUUCAUUGAUUUCUUAAAACCAUCGAUUUUUAAUCAUAGACUUUCACUGAUUUCUGAAAUCUACAGAUUUCAUAUGAAUGACUUAUGUAGAUUUCUUAAUACUUACAGAGUUACAGGAAAUGAACAAAAAUAAAGAUGCAAUGACAAACACAUAAUGACACCGAUUAUAAGUUGAGUGUUCAUCUAUCUAAUUUCGAUGCAUACAUUUAUAAUAUUUGAUUGAAAUACAUAAACAUAGGUAACAAAAAAAUUAUAUUAACUUAACAACACGCAUAGUACGUAAACCAAAAACACAUUAUAAAGUGGGACAUUAGAUGUUCAUAAGUUUAAUUCAUGUACGCUAAUAUAAUAAUAUAUGAUCAUGUGGUUCUAAUAUCAAGAGUUAGUAGAUAAUAUUUUAGGUUAUCGAGGAUUCCAAGCAUUACAAUUGAAAUACAACAAAAUAUUAACAUUCAAAAAACAUUGAAAAGAAUAGGUAGAAUAGAACAUUGAUAGCAC